Eptesicus fuscus (big brown bat) is the source of this 73-nucleotide non-coding RNA. The record is from RefSeq and is marked provisional. NCBI's taxonomy places the organism in Eukaryota, Metazoa, Chordata, Mammalia, Chiroptera, Vespertilionidae.
CUUCUCCAUCUUCCCUGGGAUGCACUGUGGGUGGCUUCUCCAGCUGGCUGUGGCCUGGGAUCAUGGGGUAAGC